Molecule: ribosomal RNA, 368 nt
Filed under: uncultured Glomeromycotina
Lineage: Eukaryota; Fungi; Glomeromycota
Description: SSU rRNA
Rfam family: Eukaryotic small subunit ribosomal RNA
Source: RNAcentral
AGCAGCCGCGGUAAUUCCAGCUCCAAUAGCGUAUAUUAAAGUUGUUGCAGUUAAAAAGCUCGUAGUUGAAUUUCGGGAUCAAUGGGUUGGUCAUGCCCUCGGUAUGUACUGAUUUCAUUGGUUCUCACCUUCUAAGGAACCAUGAUGUCAUUCGUUUGAUGUUGUGGGGAAUUAGGACUGUUACCUUGAAAAAUUAGAGUGUUUAAAGCAGGCUAACGCUUGAAUACAUUAGCAUGGAAUAAUGAAAUAGGACAUCCGAUUCUAUUUUGUUGGUUUCUAGGAUCGACGUAAUGAUUAAUAGGGAUAGUUGGGGCAUUAGUAUUCAAUUGUCAGAGGUGAAAUUCUUGGAUUUUAUUGAAGACUAAACU